GUAGAUUGAACGCUGGCGGCAGGCCUAACACAUGCAAGUCGAACGGUAACAGGAAGAAGCUUGCUUCUUUGCUGACGAGUGGCGGACGGGUGAGUAAUGUCUGGGAAACUGCCUGAUGGAGGGGGAUAACUACUGGAAACGGUAGCUAAUACCGCAUAACGUCGCAAGACCAAAGAGGGGGACCUUCGGGCCUCUUGCCAUCGGAUGUGCCCAGAUGGGAUUAGCUAGUAGGUGGGGUAACGGCUCACCUAGGCGACGAUCCCUAGCUGGUCUGAGAGGAUGACCAGCCACACUGGAACUGAGACACGGUCCAGACUCCUACGGGAGGCAGCAGUGGGGAAUAUUGCACAAUGGGCGCAAGCCUGAUGCAGCCAUGCCGCGUGUAUGAAGAAGGCCUUCGGGUUGUAAAGUACUUUCAGCGGGGAGGAAGGGAGUAAAGUUAAUACCUUUGCUCAUUGACGUUACCCGCAGAAGAAGCACCGGCUAACUCCGUGCCAGCAGCCGCGGUAAUACGGAGGGUGCAAGCGUUAAUCGGAAUUACUGGGCGUAAAGCGCACGCAGGCGGUUUGUUAAGUCAGAUGUGAAAUCCCCGGGCUCAACCUGGGAACUGCAUCUGAUACUGGCAAGCUUGAGUCUCGUAGAGGGGGGUAGAAUUCCAGGUGUAGCGGUGAAAUGCGUAGAGAUCUGGAGGAAUACCGGUGGCGAAGGCGGCCCCCUGGACGAAGACUGACGCUCAGUGCGAAAUGAGGG
Molecule: ribosomal RNA, 750 nt
Filed under: Escherichia coli
Lineage: Bacteria; Pseudomonadati; Pseudomonadota; Gammaproteobacteria; Enterobacterales; Enterobacteriaceae
Description: bacterial SSU rRNA
Rfam family: Bacterial small subunit ribosomal RNA
Source: RNAcentral